Long non-coding RNA from Astatotilapia calliptera (eastern happy), 1237 nucleotides. NCBI's taxonomy places the organism in Eukaryota, Metazoa, Chordata, Actinopteri, Cichliformes, Cichlidae. The record is from Ensembl.
GUAUAAUGGCAGAUAAAAGAACAUUUUAAAACUAAAGGAAAAAUUGGAGAAAGACCAAUCAACUAUGUAAAGAGUGUUAAUUUUAGCAGCAUUGGAAGGAAUCUGAAUGCAACUUCUGUGUUCAUAACUUACCUGUUUGGGAUGCCACAAACACAGCAACCAGCUGACCUGUGUAGAAUCGAGCGGACGGUAAACAACUUAAUAUAAAAUAUCAUAUAACAAGUUUGGAAUGUCAGACUUUUAAAAAACAAUAAAGACAAAUGAACUUUGUCCUUAUGUCAAAUGUCAGUAUCAGUAUGGGUUGGGCUCUAAUUUUUUAACUUGAUGUUUAUGAUUCUGGAUUUUCCUGACCAAUCUUGCAUCACUUUGUUUUCCACAAAUUACACAGCACAUUUAUAUACAGACUUUAAACACCAAAAAUCCAACCAUUAAGACCCAAUAUGUGAUUUUAAGCAAUCUGAUUAUAUAUUUUGAGCAGCACUGGUUACUGGUUGUGUGGAUGUCAGGGGGGAUUUCACAGUGAAAAUAUAAAAAGGAUCAAGACUGGUGAUUGUUUGGAUAUGGUCUGGAUUUUUGUGAUGAUUGUAUUUUGGGUCACUGCAUUAGUUUUAUUAUUAUAUUGCUGCUUUUCUUUCUUUAAGGUUUAUUUGUAUUUCUGUUAGUUCCUGUUUUGGACUUUGAAUUCAAGCUGAUUAUGAAAAAUGUUUUUUAUUUUUUUCUUUCUGUCUGUAGUCAGGUGUUGGGGUCCUGAAAACUGUGACUGGCAGACACACACACAAGCCGGUACAUGUGAAUGUCCACUGUAUCUACAUUGUACACUAAAUAAAUAAAUGUUUAAAUACUGACAUUCAAUGUUGAGCUAACCGUUUCUGUACUCCUUCCUUUACUCCACUGCAUUUGUCUGACAGCCACUUAUUAAAUUUUGAGAUUACAGUGAAAAACUGUGGAUCUCUGGAUUCUGUGAUUUUUAAUUUGAUAUUUUCUGCUAAACUGAAUGAGGACGUGUUCCUUUAUGGGUUGAGAGCCUUCUCCUUCUGAUAUAUAAAGAGUUAAAAACGGUCUUGGCUGUAACAAGCUAUGUUCAAAGGUAAACAGGGCUGUUUUCUGAGUCCAUAAAAAAGGCUGACUUUUAAGAGCUACCUUAAAAGUCAGCCUUUGACAGGCUUUGACAGGUCAGGGACGCUAUAAACGCAACACUCAUAUAUAUUAUGAUGUGUUGAUGUAUAUUAAACUGUAC